AUGAACGCUAGCGGCAGGCUUAACACAUGCAAGUCGAGGGGCAGCACGGGUAGCAAUACCUGGUGGCGACCGGCGCAAGGGUGCGUAACGCGUGAGCAACAUGCCCUAUACAGGGGGAUAAUCCAGGGAAACUUGGUCUAAUAUCCCAUAGCAUUUAGAGGAGGCAUCUUCACUAAAUUAAAGCUUCGGUGGUAUAGGAUUGGCUCGCGUGACAUUAGCUAGAUGGUGAGGUAACGGCCCACCAUGGCUAUGAUGUCUAGGGGUUCUGAGAGGAAGACCCCCCACACUGGGACUGAGACACGGCCCAGACUCCUACGGGAGGCAGCAGUGAGGAAUAUUGGACAAGUGGAUGGAAAUCUGAUCCAGCCAUGCCGCGUGCAGGAAGACGGCCCUAUGGGUUGUAAACUGCUUUUAUAUGGGAGCAAUAAGGUUUACGAGUAGACCGAUGAGAGUACCAUAUGAAUAAGCAUCGGCUAACUCCGUG
RNAcentral lists this ribosomal RNA (484 nucleotides) under uncultured bacterium. RNAcentral's name for it is "bacterial SSU rRNA". It matches the Rfam family "Bacterial small subunit ribosomal RNA", at positions 29 to 507 of the family's 1533-position model. The record is from RNAcentral.